RNAcentral lists this ribosomal RNA (254 nucleotides) under uncultured bacterium. Its description in RNAcentral is "partial 16S ribosomal RNA". It matches the Rfam family "Bacterial small subunit ribosomal RNA", at positions 524 to 777 of the family's 1533-position model. The record is from RNAcentral.
UACAGAGGUCCCAAGCGUUGUUCGGAUUUACUGGGCGUAAAGGGUGCGUAGGUGGCGAGGUAAGUUCGAUGUGAAAUCUCCGAGCUCAACUCGGAAAUGGCAUUGAAUACUAUCCCGCUUGAGGGUCGGAGGGGAGACUGGAAUUCUCGGUGUAGCAGUGAAAUGCGUAGAUAUCGAGAGGAACACCAGUGGCGAAGGCGAGUCUCUGGACGACUCCUGACACUGAGGCACGAAAGCUGGGGGAGCAAACGAGG